This is a non-coding RNA of Rattus norvegicus (Norway rat), 1440 nucleotides long. The record is from RefSeq and is a predicted model, not a curated record. Lineage: Eukaryota; Metazoa; Chordata; Mammalia; Rodentia; Muridae.
GUAGUUUAAGGACAAACAGACAGAUUUCUAUGUCUUUGCUUUUCUUUCAUUCACUCGCCAAACUGAGGUUAAACCAGACGGAGACCUGAAACAGGAGAUGGUGUUACAUGGGAUGGGGAGAAACAUAAAGCCAUUGAUUCCUUCACUCUUGGGCUUGGUCUCUUGAGGAAUUCUUGCAUCCAACACACAACAGACUAUGCUGACCUUCCUGGAAUCUGCCUUCUUGAUGGACAGUAAGAAGAAAACGUGGGUACUUGUAACCCAGGUUGUCAGGAAAAAUAAUCCAGGGAAGAUUUGACCCAGAGACUCCAGAUCCAGUAUCCCUUAUUUCCUAUCCUGCUACCCUCUGGGAAUACUAUCCUCAGGCAAAACGAUGCUAGCAAGAUGGCUGCCAGCAACUCCAGGCUGAUAUUUUUCAUGUCUUAGUCAAGUGAAAAGGAAAGGAAAAGCCUUCCUGAAGCUUCUACCUAGGUCCCUGCGUUUAUUUGGAUCGCCCCAUCUUACUUCAUGUGUUCAUUCUUGAAACAACUAUGAUUGGAAAGGCUUGAUCACAUGACCUGAUUCUGGAGCAGAAGGUGGAGACUAAGACACAACCCAGAAUGCUUUUCAUUCCUUACUGCCCCCUCCCCUGGCUGUGUAUGUGUGGCACACACACACACACACACACACACACACACAGACAGGCAGGUACAUAAUGCAGGUCAAUACAUGUGCAAAUCAAACAUGUUUAUUUUUGAGACAGGCUCUCAUUGACCUGGAGUGCACUCAUUCAGCUAGUCCUGCUGGCUACUGAGUCCCAGGGAUCUGCCUGCCUCUGCCUCUCUAGUGCUGGGAUCACAGAUACCUGCCUCCAUGUUCGGCUUUUGUCACCUGAGUUCUGGGGAUUGAACCCAUGUGAGUUGGCAGCAGGCACUUUACCAAAUGAAACAUCUCCUAGACCCUGUGGUUGUUUUCUAAAGCAACUGAGGUCACUAGUGGAGGGGUGGAGAGUCGGUGGGAAGAAAAAGAAAAGGUCAGGACAGGAAGUGGAAAGGUGAGGGGUAAACUUUUUUAAGUAAGAAAGGAAAAGCUAAGAAUACCAAAGGAGAUAUACCAAAGAAGGGACAGAAACCUUUUAUUCUUUCUACAGAAAUAUGAAAAAUGAAUUGCUUCCACUGAGCACUUUUGGCUGUUGGAAAUAGAAGGUAAAAAAUGGGGAAAGGAACCAACCCCCUCAUGUUGAUUAGAUAAAGCCCCUCCCCCAGCCUGCCACUGACCAGUCACCUGGCCAUCAAAUUUCUGGUUGUAGGAGAGAAAUGUGGAGGUCAUCCACUACGGUGAUCAUGGAAGGCUUGGCCUAUCUUAAGGCCCAGACACAGAGCUAGAACCCACUGGGCUUCAGCUCCUGAACGUCUCCCAGCAGCAGAGCACUUUUCUCUUGCAAUAAACCACUGCCUCUCA